This 911-nucleotide ribosomal RNA is filed under the name uncultured bacterium. RNAcentral's name for it is "bacterial SSU rRNA". It matches the Rfam family "Bacterial small subunit ribosomal RNA", at positions 8 to 916 of the family's 1533-position model. The record is from RNAcentral.
AGAGUUUGAUCCUGGCUCAGGAUGAACGCUAGCGGCAGGCUUAACACAUGCAAGUCGAGGGGCAGCAGGGGUAGCAAUACCCGCUGGCGACCGGCAAACGGGUGCGGAACACGUACACAAUCUACCUUUAUCUGGGGAAUAGCCCGAAGAAAUUCGGAUUAAUACCCCAUAAAAUAACAGAGCGGCAUCGCUUAAUUAUUAAAACUCCGGUGGAUAAAGAUGAGUGUGCGUCCCAUUAGCUAGUUGGUAGGGUAACGGCCUACCAAGGCGACGAUGGGUAGCUGGUGUGAGAGCACGACCAGCCACACGGGCACUGAGACACGGGCCCGACUCCUACGGGAGGCAGCAGUGAGGAAUAUUGGUCAAUGGACGCAAGUCUGAACCAGCCAUGCCGCGUGGAGGAUGAAGGCCUUCUGGGUUGUAAACUUCUUUUAUUAGGGAAGAAAAGCACGGUUUCUACUGUGUCCGACGGUACCUAAGGAAUAAGCACCGGCUAACUCCGUGCCAGCAGCCGCGGUAAUACGGAGGGUGCAAGCGUUAUCCGGAUUCACUGGGUUUAAAGGGUGUGUAGGCGGGCUGUUAAGUCAGUGGUGAAAUCUCCAGGCUCAACCUGGAAACUGCCAUUGAUACUAUCAGUCUUGAAUUUUGUUGAGGUAGGCGGAAUAUGUCAUGUAGCGGUGAAAUGCUUAGAUAUGACAUAGAACACCGAUUGCGAAGGCAGCUUACUAAACAAAUAUUGACGCUGAGGCACGAAAGCGUGGGGAUCAAACAGGAUUAGAUACCCUGGUAGUCCACGCCCUAAACGAUGAUUACUCGACAUACGCGAUAUUACUGUGUGUGUCUGAGCGAAAGCAUUAAGUAAUCCACCUGGGAAGUACGUCCGCAAGGAUGAAACUCAAAGGAAUUGACGG